CCUACGGGCGGCAGCAGUGGGGAAUAUUGCACAAUGGGGGAAACCCUGAUGCAGCGACGUCGCGUGAGUGAAGAAGUAACUCGUUAUGUAAAGCUCUAUCAGCAGGGGAGUAAAUGACGGUACGUGAGUAAGAAGCUAUGGCUAACUUCGUGCCAGCAGCCGUGGUAACACGCAGGGGGCAAGCGUUAUCCGGAUUUACUGGGUGUAAUGGGAGCGUAGACGGGAGUGCAAGUCAGGAGUGAAAGGCGGGGGCUCAACCCCCGGACUGCACUGGAAACUGUACGGCUGGAGUGCAGGAGAGGUAAGUGGAAUUCGUGGUGUAGCGGUGAAAUGCGUAGAUAUUAGGAGGAACACCGGUGGCGAAGGCGGCUUACUGGACUGUAACUGACGUUGAGGCGCGAAAGCGUGGGGAGCAAACAGGAUUAGAUACCCGAGUAGUC
RNAcentral lists this ribosomal RNA (440 nucleotides) under uncultured bacterium. Its description in RNAcentral is "partial 16S ribosomal RNA". It matches the Rfam family "Bacterial small subunit ribosomal RNA", at positions 338 to 795 of the family's 1533-position model. The record is from RNAcentral.